AUAAAUCUUCAGGGCGGGGUGUAAGUCCCCACCGGCGGUAUAGCCCGCGAGCCGUAAGGCAGAUUCGGUGUAACUCCGAAGCCGACAGUAAAGUCUGGAUGAAAGAAGAAACUA
This is a non-coding RNA of Clostridium sp. BL8, 114 nucleotides long. Lineage: Bacteria; Bacillati; Bacillota; Clostridia; Eubacteriales; Clostridiaceae. The record is from Rfam.